UUCCUACGGGAGGCAGCAGUGGGGAAUCUUGCACAAUGGGCGAAAGCCUGAUGCAGCAACGCCGCGUGAGCGAAGAAGGCCUUUGGGUCGUAAAGCUCUGUCCUAAGGGAAGAAGGAAGUGACGGUACCUUAGGAGGAAGCCCCGGCUAACUACGUGCCAGCAGCCGCGGUAAUACGUAGGGGGCAAGCGUUAUCCGGAAUUAUUGGGCGUAAAGAGUACGUAGGCGGUCCUGCAAGUCUGGAGUGAAACGCAUGAGCUCAACUCAUGCAUGGCUUUGGAAACUGGAGGACUGGAGAGCAGGAGG
This 305-nucleotide ribosomal RNA is filed under the name uncultured bacterium. RNAcentral describes it as "bacterial SSU rRNA". It matches the Rfam family "Bacterial small subunit ribosomal RNA", at positions 336 to 655 of the family's 1533-position model. The record is from RNAcentral.